UACGUAGGGAGCGAGCGUUGUCCGGAUUUAUUGGGCGUAAAGAGCUCGUAGGCGGCUUGUCGCGUCGAAUGUGAAAUCUCAGGGCUCAACUCUGACAUUGCAUUCGAUACGGGCAGGCUAGAGUUCGGUAGGGGAGACUGGAAUUCCUGGUGUAGCGGUGAAAUGCGCAGAUAUCAGGAGGAACACCGGUGGCGAAGGCGGGUCUCUGGGCCGAUACUGACACUGAGGAGCGAAAGCGUGGGGAGCGAACAGG
Molecule: ribosomal RNA, 253 nt
Filed under: uncultured bacterium
Lineage: Bacteria
Description: partial 16S ribosomal RNA
Rfam family: Bacterial small subunit ribosomal RNA
Source: RNAcentral